GACGUAGGGAGCAAGCGUUGUCCGGAAUCAUUGGGCGUAAAGCGCGCGUAGGCGGCCCUGUAAGUCCGUUGUGAAAGUCAAAGGCUCAACCUUUGAAAGCCGAUGGAUACUGCAGGGCUAGAGUCCGGAAGAGGCGAGUGGAAUUCCUGGUGUAGCGGUGGAAUGCGCAGAUAUCAGGAGGAACACCAAUAGCGAAGGCAGCUCGCUGGGACGGUACUGACGCUAAGGCGCGAAAGCGUGGGGAGCGAACAGG
This 253-nucleotide ribosomal RNA is filed under the name uncultured bacterium. RNAcentral's name for it is "partial 16S ribosomal RNA". It matches the Rfam family "Bacterial small subunit ribosomal RNA", at positions 524 to 776 of the family's 1533-position model. The record is from RNAcentral.